RNAcentral lists this transfer-messenger RNA (348 nucleotides) under chicken gut metagenome. It matches the Rfam family "transfer-messenger RNA". Rfam says of the family: Bacterial tmRNA, also known as 10Sa RNA or SsrA, is named for its dual tRNA and mRNA-like properties. Its role is to liberate the mRNA from a stalled ribosome. To accomplish this part of the tmRNA is used as a reading frame that ends in a translation stop signal. The record is from RNAcentral.
GGGCUUGUACUGGUUUCGACGGGGGUCUAGAAGUUAGAGUAGCCAUCCGCAGCGCGGGACUGCGUUAAAACCUGCAACUUAAAAUUAAACGCAGACGAAAAUUUAGCGUACGCUGCCUAAUUGUGCAGCAGUCGGCCUUAGGUCUCUCACCGCUUAAGUAACCGGCUUCAACAAGGUGAGGCACUUUGUCUCCAAAGCUUUGAGGGGAUAAAAGAAUUUAUGAAGCUACUGAAGUGAAAAGCCUGUCACCGGGCGUUUCAUGGAGGGAAUGUCAAAACGAUGACUGUGAUUGGGAGAAGCUAUAAUGGAAGGGCUUUCGGACGCGGGUUCAACUCCCGCCAGGUCCAU